Molecule: non-coding RNA, 1384 nt
Organism: Xyrichtys novacula (pearly razorfish)
Lineage: Eukaryota; Metazoa; Chordata; Actinopteri; Labriformes; Labridae
Source: the annotation of a GenBank genome assembly
GUCGGUGCGGCUGGACCUUCCUCUGGCCUCCUGCUGUGAUGUUGCGCUGCUCUCUCUGCCUUCACUCAGUCCUAUAAUCGUCCGUUUGCGCACAGCGCGGAGGAGGAGGAGGAGGAGGAGGAGGAGCGUUCAGGACACAGGGACCGGUCAGAAGGGCGGACAUGGCGGCACACACACUCAGUACAGCUGUACUAUGAGUCAGCUCUGAUAAAAGUUUGAUUCUUCUUGAAAACACGGAGGAGGGCUCUUCCUCUCUGCGCGUGGACGCGGUCUGUCCGGUGCGUAAAAGUGGAACUCUAAAGUUUUUUCCGGCAGAACUCCAGACCGGGUCGGCUGUUUCAGAGUCAUGAAGGUAUGUCGAGAGAAGAAAGAGUUAAUCUGACUUCUAAUCUGACCCAGUUUAUGUCCUCUCCUCACAACAGUGUUGGUUCAAAACCAGGUUCGCCUCCCUCACAUCUCCGGGCAUCGUGGAUAAAUAAACGCACCAACAAGAGGAGGACCCGGACUGAUCCUCUCAGCUCUUCAGACUAUUAUUAGACCUACAGUUAUUCUGAGGGGCUUUAUGAGAGUCAGUGUUUCACAGAGAUGUCAGUCUCAUCAUGUCUAAUCAUUAAUAUGGUUUUAUUAAGAGUCUGCAGGAUUAUGGAGGAGUGGUCGGUCCUCUCUCAGUCCAGCUCCUCUGUUCUCUGGAUGUCUCUCUGCUGAUGUCCUCGGACUCUCUAGACUGUUAACGUUCCUCUUCCUGUUUGCUCUCAGUCUCAUGUCACAUUUUAUCUCUAAAGAACCAAAAAAUACAAGUUUAUUUCAGAUCUCAAACUUCUGUGUCAGUCUUUACGGGAAAAUCCUCUGAUGUCUGUGCGCACAGAGCGGCCUGAUUCACUCCCACCGGACAGGAGUGGAGCCGAAGCUGGGGUCUUUAUACCGCUGCUGAUUGGAUGAGUUGCAGGUGUGUGUACGCAAUUAGCCAGGUGCCUGUUAGCUGAGGCCACGCCCCCUUAAAAAACAGACAGACAGGAGGGAGGAAGCAGAGAGAUCAGAUACAAGAGUUAAAGCUUGAGUUGUUCUUUACUCUGGUCCUGUGGGGGGUGUGAGCUGCAGUAGCAGAUUUCUGACACUUGUGGGCAGUGUUGCUGCAGGUUUGAACUUUAACUCUCACUCAGGAGAAAAGAAACAAAAUCCAACAUUAGGAAAGGUUGACAAUGUGACCAAGGUUCAAAUAACAAAAAUAAAAUCAAAUGAAAAAGUGAGGCCAAAAUCAGACUAAGACCUUUAUGUUGACAGAAUCUCCUCAUGAGAACCAGUGCAGUAAAGAUGGAGCCUGAGAGGACGGAAACAGAGGAACCAGGAGACAACAGGGACUCGAGGAGGGACGGAUGAGUUUGGA